This 71-nucleotide transfer RNA is filed under the name Delitschia confertaspora ATCC 74209. It matches the Rfam family "tRNA". From Rfam's summary of the family: Transfer RNA (tRNA) molecules are approximately 80 nucleotides in length. Lineage: Eukaryota; Fungi; Ascomycota; Dothideomycetes; Pleosporales; Delitschiaceae. The record is from Rfam by way of RNAcentral.
GCUUCAGUGGUCCAACGGUAGGAUAAUUGCCUUCCAAGCAAUUGGUUCGGGUUCGACUCCCGGCUGAUGCA